This 492-nucleotide ribosomal RNA is filed under the name uncultured bacterium. Its description in RNAcentral is "partial 16S ribosomal RNA". It matches the Rfam family "Bacterial small subunit ribosomal RNA", at positions 29 to 507 of the family's 1533-position model. The record is from RNAcentral.
AGUGAACGCUGGCGGUAGGCCUAACACAUGCAAGUCGAACGGCAGCACAGUAAGAUCUUUCUCUUACGGGUUGCGAGUGGCGUACGUGUGAGGUAUACAUCGUAAUCUACUUUUUCGUGUGGGAUUACGUAGGGAAACUUACUCUAAUACCGCAUACGACCUACGGUUGAAAUCAUUGGAUCUUCGCACCUUUCGCGAUUGAAUUAGCCGAUGUCGGAUUAGCUAGUUGGCGUGGUAAAGGCCCACCAAGGCGACGAUCCGUAGCUGGUCUGAGUGGAUGAUCAGCCAAACUGGAAGUGAGACACGGUCAAGACACCUACGGGAGGAAGAAGAGGGGAAUAUUGGAAAAUGGGGGAAAGCGUGAUCAAGCAAGACCGCGUGGGUGAAGAAGGACUUCGGGUUGUAAAGCCCGUUUGUUGGGAAAGAAAAGCAGGAGGUUAAAAACACGAUGUUGUGACGGUACCAAAAGAAUAAGCACCGGCUAACUACGUG